UGUCUUUUCAACCUGAGCCAAGACCUCAAAAAGACAUCUUCUGGACGUAAUUUGUUCAGUGGGUACAGAUGCAGUGAAGUCAGUGUCAGUGAUGGAGGGAGAUUCUGUCACUCUAAACACUGAUCUUACUGAAAUACAGAGAGAUGAUCAGAUACUGUGGAUGUUUGGACCUCAAGAGACUCGUAUAGCUGAAAUAUAUAAGCAGAUCAAUGAUAUGUAUAACAGUAAUGAGAUAUUCGGAGACAGACUCCAGAUAGACAGUCAAACUGGAUCUCUGACCAUCAGAAACAUCAGAUCUGAACACUCUGGAUUUUAUAAACUACAGAUCCGCAGUGACAGAGGAACUUCAUACAAGAGAUUCAGUGUUACUGUGUAUGAUCUGGUCUCGAAGAAAAACUCGCAGAGUUGAAGUUUCAGGUCUCAGAAAACUCACAGAGUCAAAGUUCCAGGUCUCAGAAGUAUUUAACUUUAUUGUCAAGCAACAAAGUGAGAUGCCAGCUCCGCAUCUGAGGCUCCCUUAGCUGGGGCACAGUUUAUAGAUUUUUCUUAUCUCUUAAAAACACACCAAAUUAAUAUCAUUGGCUGGUAAUAUUCGCUCUUACAUUUUCCCAUAUUCUCACUUACACGUGCUCUCCCCUCACACCUCCUUCCCAUGUACUCCCCGACCUUUCUGCCAUAGACACUUCACUAAUAUAAUUGCAGGUGUUGCUUAUGUAAGAGAAUUUUCUUAGUAAGGGUGACCAGCUUCCAGCUACUGUACAUCUUUUGACUUCAUUUCUCAUGGCCUUCUGCCAAUUGAUGGUCAACUCUUUUCCCAUUGGCCAAAUGAAACAUUGUAUCAAAACAGUCAACACUCCCCGGAGGCAAGAGGCCUUCACGUGACACCCUUUACUGAUGGUCUUGUUCAUUUCACAGCCACCUGUUGUCUGGUGGAAAAUUACCAACAAAUUUUAUUCAAGUAAACUUGUUUGACCCUUACAGUUACAAAGGCCAAGAGGGCCUCACAACACUUCUAGCUUUUAUAGUAAGCAAACUAAUUCUACAAUUGUUUUCUAUAGGAUGGAUAAAAUACUCCAUCAUGUUCAGCUGUGAAUGUGGGUCAUGUGACUCUCUCCUGGUACAAAGGAAACAGUUUAUUGUCCAGCAUCAGUGUGUCUGAUCUCAGCAUCAGUCUCUCUCUACCUCUGGAGGUGGAAUAUCAGGAUAAAAACACCUACAGCUGUGUGAUCAACAAUCCCAUCAGAAACCAGACUCAACAUCUGGAUAUCUCUGAACUCUGUUGGUAUUGUUCAAGAAUGUAUACCCAGCUUUUAUAUUUCAUGCUCAUUAUAACAGUAGUUAGUGUGCUGCUGCUGCUGCUGCUCAUUUCUGCAUGUGUGUUUUACUGUUGCUGCCGGAAAUACAGCCAAGAAAAAACAGAGG
This is a long non-coding RNA of Megalobrama amblycephala (Wuchang bream), 1422 nucleotides long. RefSeq lists it as uncharacterized. NCBI's taxonomy places the organism in Eukaryota, Metazoa, Chordata, Actinopteri, Cypriniformes, Xenocyprididae. The transcript is spliced from 3 exons. The record is from RefSeq and is a predicted model, not a curated record.